Molecule: long non-coding RNA, 232 nt
Organism: Nerophis ophidion (straightnose pipefish)
Lineage: Eukaryota; Metazoa; Chordata; Actinopteri; Syngnathiformes; Syngnathidae
Exons: 3
Source: RefSeq, a predicted model, not a curated record
AAUCCAGCAAGCAAGAUGAAGAGCGAAGAUUUGAAUUGGAAAUCGAACUAUUUCACGGCAAAGAAAACCAUCGACGUCCAUAAAGAUUCAGAAAUUGGAGACAGUGGAGGAACUACUCGACCUUGACGAGUUGAUAAAAACUCAACCAAGCAAGAAAGAUUUGCUGACAGCCAGGCUCUCAAAGAUUGGUGGAUAUGACUUAAAGAGCUGUUUAAGCAUCAUCAUGGACAGG